RNAcentral lists this ribosomal RNA (263 nucleotides) under uncultured archaeon. Its description in RNAcentral is "partial 16S ribosomal RNA". It matches the Rfam family "Archaeal small subunit ribosomal RNA", at positions 748 to 1008 of the family's 1478-position model. The record is from RNAcentral.
AGGGUGUAAACGCUGCAGACUUGGUGUUGGAGGCCCUUUGGGGGCAUUCAGUGCCGGAGAGAAGUUGUUAAGUCUGCUACUUGGGGAGUACGUCCGCAAGGAUGAAACUUAAAGGAAUUGGGCGGGGGAGCACCGCAACGGGAGGAGCGUGCGGUUUAAUUGGAUUCAACACCGUAAAACUCACCAGGGAAGACUGUUACAUGAAGGCCGAGAUGAAGACUCGGCUAGAUUUUUCAGAGAGGAGGUGCAUGGCGUCAGUGACU